CUUGUUAGGAAAAAUUGUUCCAGGAACCGAGGGCAUGAGGCCCAAUCUCUAGGUUAAAUUCAUUAGGCAUAAUAUUAGAAAAAAAAUUAGUUUUUUGUCUGACACCUUUUCCAGUGGGAGAAGCUGGAUUGAAAAGUUUUCAACUUGGCUGUCUAAUCCGGCAUCAUGAAAACUGCUGCCCUCCUCAACCCAUGUACAUUUUAGUCUCCCCUAUCCUGGAUUCUGCUCAACAGAUCAGCCCUAAUCCUACACAGGCAUGGUGCAGUCUAGGAUGCUUGUGUCGCAGGGUUGAAGACAAGAAAGACAGAUGUGUGCCUGCCCCCAGUUGCGAGAGCGCAGAGGCAAUGAUGAUGGAACAGAAGGCAAGAGGCUGUCAUCGUUCACAUCACAAGGACCAGAGACACCCUUCCUGGGAAGAGAGCUGACAAACCUUCUGUGGUAAGGGGUGAACAUCCUUGGGAAGCCACAGAGAGCAAGGCGCAGUUUUUCAUUGAUCACCACCAUCAAGAUGCUCCCAGAAUCGUGCUGUCUAGGAAACCAUUUAAACCGGUGAGAAGCCAUCCUCUCUUGAAUGGGGGCUCCCACUGUACAUCUGGCACCCACUUCACAGGUGGGAUGGCGAAACAUGCUGACUGGUCUGGGCCAGUCAAGAAUAACAGAAGAAAUGAGGAAGGCAUAUCAUGACUGCUUCCUCACUCAACGCAACUUCACUGAGCUCCGGCUGCACACCCACUGCCAUGCUAGACACUGGGGUACUGAAAUUCAGAGCCAUAUUGCCCACCCUCAAGAGCUGGAGGGAAAGUGA
RNAcentral lists this long non-coding RNA (805 nucleotides) under Rhinopithecus bieti (black snub-nosed monkey). RNAcentral's name for it is "lncRNA (ENSRBIG00000045631.1)". Lineage: Eukaryota; Metazoa; Chordata; Mammalia; Primates; Cercopithecidae. The record is from RNAcentral.